CCUAGGGGAGGCAGCAGUGAGGAAUAUUGGUCAAUGGGCGGGAGCCUGAACCAGCCAAGUCGCGUGAGGGACGACGGUCCUAUGGAUUGUAAACCUCUUUUGUCGGGGAACAAAUGCGCCCACGGGUGGGCGGAUGAGUGUACCCGAAGAAAAAGCAUCGGCUAACUCCGUGCCAGCAGCCGCGGUAAUACGGAGGAUGCGAGCGUUAUCCGGAUUUAUUGGGUUUAAAGGGUGCGUAGGCGGCAUGUAAAGUCAGGUGUUAAAGGCGCAGGCUCAACCUGUGUAUGGCACUUGAUACUUGCAAGCUGGAAUGUGGUAGAGGUAAAGGGAAUUCCUGGUGUAGCGGUGAAAUGCUUAGAUAUCAGGAGGAACAUCGGUGGCGUAAGCGCUUUACUGGGCCGUAAUUGACGCUGAGGAACGAAAGCCAGGGUAGCAAAUGGGAUUAGAUACCCCGGUAGUC
This 460-nucleotide ribosomal RNA is filed under the name uncultured bacterium. RNAcentral's name for it is "partial 16S ribosomal RNA". It matches the Rfam family "Bacterial small subunit ribosomal RNA", at positions 338 to 795 of the family's 1533-position model. The record is from RNAcentral.